UCGGCCUCUUUUUUGGGGCUUCGGCUAUCAGCGAUUUAUUCGCAUAAUGUUCCAUGUAGAAUAUAGAUCAUGACUACUUUCUAUGUGAAAGUCUUGACUAAAACACGUGCCAGCAGUCGCGGCAACACGGGACAGACAAGUGUUAUUCAUCUUUAAUAGGUUUAAAGGGUACCUAGACGGCAAAUUUAACCUUCAGUGUAACGGGACGGAAUAUUUUUGCUAGAGUUUUAUGUGAGAGGAAUUUAGUACUAUCGGAGUAAAGAUGAAAUUUUUUGAUACCGUAGGGCACUGAUAACGGCGAAGGCAGACCUUUAUGUAAAAACUGACGUUGAGGGACGAAGGCUUGGGUAACAAACAGGAUUAGGUACCCUAAUAGUCCAGGCAGAAAAUGAUGAGUGCCAUAGAUUAGAGUUAUUUGAUCUAUAAAUGAAAGUGAAAGCAUUCCACCUUAAGAGUAAUGCGGCAACGCAGGAACUGAAAUCAUUAGACCGUUUCUGAUACCAGUAGUGAAGUAUGUUGUUUAAUUCGAUGAUCCACGAAAAAUCUUACCUCAAUUUGAAUAUUAUAGCAACUAAAAGGAAAGUCUUUUUAUAAUUUUAUUAUUAAAAAGAUGGAAUUGCUAUUAAUACAGGUGUUGCACGGCUGUCUUCAGUUGAUGUCGUGAGAGACGCGCUAAGGCUCGUAUUUAAU
RNAcentral lists this ribosomal RNA (690 nucleotides) under Arthonia ulleungdoensis. RNAcentral's name for it is "SSU rRNA". It matches the Rfam family "Bacterial small subunit ribosomal RNA", at positions 393 to 1097 of the family's 1533-position model. The record is from RNAcentral. Lineage: Eukaryota; Fungi; Ascomycota; Arthoniomycetes; Arthoniales; Arthoniaceae.